This 520-nucleotide ribosomal RNA is filed under the name Staphylococcus aureus. Its description in RNAcentral is "partial 23S ribosomal RNA". It matches the Rfam family "Bacterial large subunit ribosomal RNA", at positions 972 to 1495 of the family's 2925-position model. The record is from RNAcentral. Lineage: Bacteria; Bacillati; Bacillota; Bacilli; Caryophanales; Staphylococcaceae.
UUAACUUGGGAGUCAGAACAUGGGUGAUAAGGUCCGUGUUCGAAAGGGAAACAGCCCAGACCACCAGCUAAGGUCCCAAAAUAUAUGUUAAGUGGAAAAGGAUGUGGCGUUGCCCAGACAACUAGGAUGUUGGCUUAGAAGCAGCCAUCAUUUAAAGAGUGCGUAAUAGCUCACUAGUCGAGUGACACUGCGCCGAAAAUGUACCGGGGCUAAACAUAUUACCGAAGCUGUGGAUUGUCCUUUGGACAAUGGUAGGAGAGCGUUCUAAGGGCGUUGAAGCAUGAUCGUAAGGACAUGUGGAGCGCUUAGAAGUGAGAAUGCCGGUGUGAGUAGCGAAAGACGGGUGAGAAUCCCGUCCACCGAUUGACUAAGGUUUCCAGAGGAAGGCUCGUCCGCUCUGGGUUAGUCGGGUCCUAAGCUGAGGCCGACAGGCGUAGGCGAUGGAUAACAGGUUGAUAUUCCUGUACCACCUAUAAUCGUUUUAAUCGAUGGGGGGACGCAGUAGGAUAGGCGAAGCGUG